GGAAUUGACGGGGACCCGCACAAGCAGCGGAGCGUGUGGUUUAAUUCGUUGCUACACGAAGAACCUUACCUGGGUUUGACAUAUAGGUUGUAGGGAACUGAAAGGGACCGACCCUUCGGGGAGCCUAUACAGGUGUUGCAUGGCUGUCGUCAGCUCGUGUCGUGAGAUGUUCGGUUAAGUCCGCUAACGAGCGCAACCCUCGUCGUAUGUUAUAUGUGUCAUACGAGACUGCCGGUAAAAGCCGGAGGAAGGUGAGGAUGAUGUCAAGUCAGCAUGACCUUUAUAUCCAGGGCUACACACACGCUACAAUGGUCUGUACAAUGGGUAGCCAAGCCGCGAGGCGGAGCCAAUCCUGAAAGCAGGCCUCAGUUCAGAUUGCAGUCUGCAACUCGACUGCAUGAAGCCGGAGUUGCUAGUAACCGCAGGUCAGCAAUACUGCGGUGAAUACGUUCCCGGGUCUU
This 461-nucleotide ribosomal RNA is filed under the name uncultured Anaerolineaceae bacterium. RNAcentral's name for it is "bacterial SSU rRNA". It matches the Rfam family "Bacterial small subunit ribosomal RNA", at positions 906 to 1382 of the family's 1533-position model. The record is from RNAcentral. Lineage: Bacteria; Bacillati; Chloroflexota; Anaerolineae; Anaerolineales; Anaerolineaceae.